Diceros bicornis minor is the source of this 263-nucleotide long non-coding RNA. RefSeq lists it as uncharacterized. The record is from RefSeq and is a predicted model, not a curated record. The transcript has 4 exons. NCBI's taxonomy places the organism in Eukaryota, Metazoa, Chordata, Mammalia, Perissodactyla, Rhinocerotidae.
CCCUUCAAGAAAAGAUGUGCUGUCCAACUGUGAGGAGUGUGGUUGUCCAAUAGCCUCUAGUGGUGUCAAUUCCCAAUGACUCUAGUGUAGUCCUAACUGUCUCAGUGUCUGCCUCCUGGAGAACCUCAGCUGUGACACACCCCUUUUGAGCGAGCCAUGUUUUUCCUUCUGGAACCUGAAUGGGAAUCAGACGUUUGCUGUGAAAGCAGCCCACCAGGGCAACUGCGGUCUUCUGAAGGGUCCAGACUCAAGCCAGAUUCGGC